This is a small nuclear RNA of Bombina bombina (fire-bellied toad), 107 nucleotides long. NCBI's taxonomy places the organism in Eukaryota, Metazoa, Chordata, Amphibia, Anura, Bombinatoridae. The record is from RefSeq and is a predicted model, not a curated record.
UUGCUAGCAUUGGCAGCACAUAUACUAAAACUGGAACGAUACAGAGGGGAUUAGAAUGGCUCCCAUGCAAGGGUAAUACGCAAAUUAGUGAAGGCCAGUCCUGCUUA